RNAcentral lists this ribosomal RNA (886 nucleotides) under uncultured bacterium. RNAcentral's name for it is "bacterial SSU rRNA". It matches the Rfam family "Bacterial small subunit ribosomal RNA", at positions 510 to 1397 of the family's 1533-position model. The record is from RNAcentral.
AGCCGCCGCGGUAAUACGAAGGGACCUAGCGUAGUUCGGAAUUACUGGGCUUAAAGAGUUCGUAGGUGGUUGAAAAAGUUGGUGGUGAAAUCCCAGAGCUUAACUCUGGAACUGCCAUCAAAACUUUUCAGCUAGAGUAUGAUAGAGGAAAGCAGAAUUUCUAGUGUAGAGGUGAAAUUCGUAGAUAUUAGAAAGAAUACCAAUUGCGAAGGCAGCUUUCUGGAUCAUUACUGACACUGAGGAACGAAAGCAUGGGUAGCGAAGAGGAUUAGAUACCCUCGUAGUCCAUGCCGUAAACGAUGUGUGUUAGACGUUGGAAAUUUAUUUUCAGUGUCGCAGGGAAACCGAUAAACACACCGCCUGGGGAGUACGACCGCAAGGUUAAAACUCAAAUGAAUUGACGGGGACCCGCACAAGUAGUGGAGCAUGUGGUUUAAUUCGAAGAUACGCGCAGAACCUUACCAACACUUGACAUGUUCGUCGCGACUCUAAGAGAUUAGAGUUUUCGGUUCGGCCGGACGAAACACAGGUGCUGCAUGGCUGUCGUCAGCUCGUGUCGUGAGAUGUUGGGUUAAGUCCCGCAACGAGCGCAACCCUCACUUUUAGUUGCCAUCAUUAAGUUGGGCACUCUGAAAGAACUGCCAGUGAUAAGCUGGAGGAAGGUGGGGAUGACGUCAAGUCCUCAUGGCCCUUACGUGUUGGGCUACACACGUGCUACAAUGGCAUCUACAACAGGAAGCAAAACGGCAACGUUAAGCAAAUCCCGAAAAGAUGCCUCAGUUCGGAUUGCACUCUGCAACUCGAGUGCAUGAAGCUGGAAUUACUAGUAAUCGUGGAUCAGCGUGCCACGGUGAAUGCGUUCCCGGGUCUUGCACACACCGCCCGU